Nanorana parkeri is the source of this 122-nucleotide long non-coding RNA. RefSeq lists it as uncharacterized. The record is from RefSeq and is a predicted model, not a curated record. The transcript is spliced from 3 exons. NCBI's taxonomy places the organism in Eukaryota, Metazoa, Chordata, Amphibia, Anura, Dicroglossidae.
GUCUCCUGGAUUUCUUGGACAUGUGACUAGGUCAUGUUACCAUCCACAUCAUCUCCGGGGAGGAAAAUGCCUUUCCCUGAGAUCUCAUGAGAUUAGAAAUGAGAUUUCCCAGCAAUGUUCUG